RNAcentral lists this small RNA (212 nucleotides) under Meriones unguiculatus (Mongolian gerbil). RNAcentral describes it as "7SK RNA (ENSMUGG00000011774.1)". It matches the Rfam family "7SK RNA", at positions 1 to 249 of the family's 331-position model. From Rfam's summary of the family: 7SK was discovered as an abundant small nuclear RNA in the mid-70s but a possible function has only recently been suggested. Two independent studies have found that 7SK RNA binds the CDK9/cyclin T complex (known as elongation factor P-TEFb). The record is from RNAcentral. Lineage: Eukaryota; Metazoa; Chordata; Mammalia; Rodentia; Muridae.
AGAUGUGGCUAAGGGAGCUGGCUGUGACAUCUGUCACCUCAUCAAUUGCCAGAGUUGACUAGGCUGAUCUGACUGGCCAGGUGGGUGUUCCCUUCUCCCAGCCCUCUAUUUUCAUCCCUCUCAUUGCCACACGUGCUCCAGAGACAAAGACCAUCGCUCCAGGGUCACUGUGCUCAGAUGCUGUAGCCUUCAAACAAAUUCUCAAGAUGUGG